CCUGAUUCCCAGCAGUUGUCAUGGCCAAUGUGAUAACCUUGAGGAUAGAAGUCAUGUACUGACAAUGGCAGAGCUCAAAGUUUCAGCACGCCCUGGAGGGGUCAUGACCAAUCUCCUGACCUGCUCAACCGCCAGCAGUACCCCCAGUCUGAAAGGCAUUCUCAGCCUCCUGUGCUUGGUCCCAGGGGAUUUCCCUGGGGCUCAGCUGAGCAAUCACUUCCUCCAGGAAGGUUUUGGGGAUGACACUUCCCUCCCUCAGAGGUG
Molecule: long non-coding RNA, 264 nt
Filed under: Dasypus novemcinctus (nine-banded armadillo)
Lineage: Eukaryota; Metazoa; Chordata; Mammalia; Cingulata; Dasypodidae
Description: lncRNA (ENSDNOG00000051348.1)
Source: RNAcentral